RNAcentral lists this ribosomal RNA (301 nucleotides) under uncultured bacterium. RNAcentral's name for it is "partial 16S ribosomal RNA". It matches the Rfam family "Bacterial small subunit ribosomal RNA", at positions 509 to 807 of the family's 1533-position model. The record is from RNAcentral.
CAGUAGCCACGGGAACACGGAGGGUGCAAGCGUUAAUCGGAAUUACUGGGCGUAAAGCGCACGCAGGCGGUCUGUCAAGUCAGAUGUGAAAUCCCCGGGCUUAACCUGGGAACUGCAUUUGAAACUGGCAGGCUAGAGUCUUGUAGAGGGGGGUAGAAUUCCAGGUGUAGCGGUGAAAUGCGUAGAGAUCUGGAGGAAUACCGGUGGCGAAGGCGGCCCCCUGGACAAAGACUGACGCUCAGGUGCGAAAGCGUGGGGAGCAAACAGGAUUAGAUACCCCUGUAGUCCCUGUCUCUUAUAC